Molecule: ribosomal RNA, 292 nt
Filed under: uncultured bacterium
Lineage: Bacteria
Description: partial 16S ribosomal RNA
Rfam family: Bacterial small subunit ribosomal RNA
Source: RNAcentral
GUGCCAGCAGCCGCGGUAAUACGGGGGGGGCAAGCGUUGUUCGGAAUUACUGGGCGUAAAGGGUCUGUAGGUGGCUCGCUAAGUCAGACGUGAAAUCCCUCAGCUUAACUGAGGAACUGCGUCUGAGACUGAUGAGCUCGAGUGCAGGAGAGGAAUGCGGAAUUCCAGGUGUAGCGGUGAAAUGCGUAGAUAUCUGGAGGAACACCGGUGGCGAAGGCGGCAUUCUGGACUGCAACUGACACUGAGAGACGAAAGCCAGGGGAGCAAACGGGAUUAGAUACCCCAGUAGUCC